Molecule: non-coding RNA, 174 nt
Filed under: Marinilactibacillus sp. 15R
Lineage: Bacteria; Bacillati; Bacillota; Bacilli; Lactobacillales; Carnobacteriaceae
Also listed under: 1 other name
Description: Lysine riboswitch aptamer
Rfam family: Lysine riboswitch aptamer
About the family: Riboswitches are metabolite binding domains within certain messenger RNAs that serve as precision sensors for their corresponding targets. Allosteric rearrangement of mRNA structure is mediated by ligand binding, and this results in modulation of gene expression.
Source: Rfam by way of RNAcentral
AAUAAAGAUAGAGGCGCAAAGAAAAUCAGUACGAUUCAGUAGGGUGACACCCGUUGAUUGAGUCCGAAAGGGUUCUUUGCCGAAGUAGAUGAAAAUAGUCAUAAUUUAUCUGCUGGGGCUUCGUUUAAUAAGCGGAGCACUGUCACGAAACUUUCGUGGAGCACUAUCAUACUA